AUUGAACGCUGGCGGCAUGCUUUACACAUGCAAGUCGAACGGCAGCGCGGGCUUCGGCCUGGCGGCGAGUGGCGAACGGGUGAGUAAUACAUCGGAACGUGCCCAGUAGUGGGGGAUAGCUCGGCGAAAGCCGGAUUAAUACCGCAUACGACCUGAGGGUGAAAGCGGGGGAUCUUCGGACCUCGCGCUAUUGGAGCGGCCGAUGGCAGAUUAGCUAGUUGGUGGGGUAAAGGCCUACCAAGGCGACGAUCUGUAGCCGGUCUGAGAGGACGACCAGCCACACUGGGACUGAGACACGGCCCAGACUCCUACGGGAGGCAGCAGUGGGGAAUUUUGGACAAUGGGCGAAAGCCUGAUCCAGCAAUGCCGCGUGUGUGAUGAAGGCCUUCGGGUUGUAAAGCACUUUUGGCGGGAACGAAAAGGACCGUGCCAAUACCACGGUUCGAUGACGGUACCCGCAGAAUAAGCACCGGCUAACUACGUG
RNAcentral lists this ribosomal RNA (484 nucleotides) under uncultured bacterium. RNAcentral's name for it is "partial 16S ribosomal RNA". It matches the Rfam family "Bacterial small subunit ribosomal RNA", at positions 29 to 507 of the family's 1533-position model. The record is from RNAcentral.